UCUUUGCUAUGGAUAUGUUAGUCAUUUGCUGAGCUUUAUAUGCUCACCCCGUUGCUAUAUAAAUUUUUCAGGAUAGCUUAUCGCUCACUAAAAUGUGUAAAUUGGGUUGAGGCAGUGGAAGACUAGAAGAUUUUGGGGCAAAUAUUUUGUACUUGAUUGGUUGAUGUUGUAUAAGUUCUUUUUGGGUGUAAUGAAAUAUCAAUGACAAAUCUAGAUUGAUGUAUCUUGUAAAUAUUUGAAAAGUACCUCUUACGUCAGGAUUUUGGAAAUGUUAAGUCUAAACUGUAUACUGAUAUAAACAUGUAGUACAUAUUGGUUUUGUGAUUACAUUAAUUACCGCGCUUAUGAAUUUAUGAUAUAGUUAUGGUUUAGUUAAGUUGCUUUUGGAUUUUAAAAAUCAUCUAGUGACAUGAUGUAUGAUUAUAAACUGCACAGGUUUUGUGAAUUGUGGAUUGUAGAGGUGAAUGACUUGAAUGUUUUUCUUAGUGACCUCAAAUGUGUGAUUGGAUCCUGGGUUGUUUGUUGAAUUAUAAUAUUAUCAAUCUUGAGUUAGGUUCACACCUCCUAAAUGAGAAUUAAAUUCGGGGGGCGUGACAGAGUAGUAUCAGAGCAUGGUUUGAGGAUCACUGAAAUAUUUGAUAUGUUGAUGUGCAAAAUGUUAGGAUCGAGAGCACNNNNNNNNNNNNNNNNNNNNUACGAUUAAAUCUAAGACAACUUCUGCAGCUUUGCUUCGGUGCGUCAAUCGCUCCUUCCGGCGAGUUUCCGGCGAACUUCCAUCGAUCAUCCGAUGAACCCUCGGUGAUGCUCCUGCGGACUUCCGGCAAACUCCUGGACUUUGCGACGAUCCACUUGGCAAGUUCCGACGAGCUUCGCUUGGCAAGCUUCUGGACUUCUCGGAUCUGUUCUCGCAGAACCUCCGACGACCGUCCGAACUUCCGUCGAACUCUCGAACUCCCAACGUGAUCAUGAACUUGACUCCGGCGUAACUCCUGCUGCUUGUCUAUCUUUCAUCGUAGUUAAUCCUGCACACUUAUCUCAACACAUAGAUUAGACAACAAAUGACAAUUGACUUCAUUAUCAAAAUCCGAGAUUCAACACAAAAUAUAUUGAGGUCUAGUGAACUAUAGUGAUUGGUGAAAAUUUUCUUUGAUGCAUUUUAGGAAUCUAAGAUGACAAGGACAUUUAGUCCUCCUACUUCGUCUGUUUUUGAUUAAUUAAGUGCGAUAAAAGGGUUGAUCGGGGAUAUUAAAUCAGAGUGGCGUAGUAGAAGCGUGGUGAACCUAAUACAUUGGUAGCAAAAAAAUAGAUGAUGCGAUUGGAGAAGAUAUUUGAUGUACGAAAUUGUUCUGAUGAUCAAAAGAAUUUCUAGAGAUUAAGGACAAUAAUAGCAAGGACAAGUUUACCAAAAAAAAAAAAAGAUUAGAAAUGAAUCAGAAUGUGAUAACAAGAGGGUCAAGACAUCAUCGAUUUAAAAAGGGAAGUCACCACAAAAGAUUCAAUCCUGUGUACGAUGCGAGUUAAAUUAUGAAAUAAGUUUGUAUUUGUAGGUGACUGGAGCCUAUUUUGCUUGUGGAAAUUUGGAUCAUAAAAUAAAAGACUGCCUUUUGGACAAGAAGAAAGAAUCACUUGCUCAUAAAUCAUCAGCCCAUGUCAGAGUGUAUGUUAUCAUGGAAUAUUAUUCUAAAUCUUUUGAAUUAGUGGUCGAAGGUACUAUUCAUAUUUCUGAAAGAAUGCAAAUAUUUGUUUGACCAUGUGUCUCAUCUAUGAUUUGAUUCAUAAUAUUUUGCUUAUCACAUGGGCAUUCAACCUGAACCACUGGAUUAUAUGCUAUAUGUAAAUACGGCUAUUGGGGAUUGUUUGAUAACAAACUCGAUCUGGUCAUCUUGUUUGAUUUUUAUUGGAGAACACGAACUUCUUGCUGAUUUGGUUCUCCUAGAUAUUUGGAGUUUUGAUAUUAUACUAAGUAUGGAUUGACUAUCUUCCAAUCAUACCAGUAUAGAUUGUUAUACAAAAUGAUCACUUUUUGCAUACUAGAUUAUCCCAUCUUUUAUUUUGAGAGUAUUGGGCAUGAUUUACCUCCUUGCCUGAUGUAUUUCCAGAUGACUUGCCUGGUUUACCUCCAGAUUGAGAGGGUGAAUUUACUAUUGAUUUGGUCCUUGAGACAAUCCCAAUAUCUAAGCCUCCUUACAGAAUGACACCACUCGAGCUAAAGGAAUUGAAAAACCAACUACAAGAACUAUUAGGUAAGGGUUUCAUUCGACCCAGUGUUUCACCAUGGGGUGCUCCGGUACUAUUAGUUAAGAAGAAGGAUGGAACAUUAAGGUUUUGUAUUGAUAAUAGACAAUUGAAUCAGGUGACUAUCAAAAACAAGUAUCCCCUACCUAGAAUUGAUGAUUUGUUUGAUCAAUUGCAGGGUGCAUAAAUAUUCUCCAAGAUUGAUUUAAGGUCAGGUUACUAUCAGUUGAAGAUCAUAAAGGAGGAUAUUCCAAAAACAGCUUUUAGAACUCGAUAUGGUCACUAUGAAUUCUUAGUGAUGUCUUUUGAUUUAACUAAUGCCCCUACAGCUUUUAUGGAACUGAUGAAUAGGAUAUUUCAACCAUUCUUGAACGAUUGUGUGAUUGUAUUCAUUGAUGACAUAUUAGUAUAUUUAAGGAGUAAUCAGGAGUUUGAGGAACACUUGAGAAAUAUAUUGUCCAUACUAAGAGAAAAAAAAAAAAGUUGUAUGCAAAGUUCAACAAAUGUGAAUUUUGGUUGAACGAAAUUGCUUUCUUAGGCCAUGUGAUUUCAGGGAAGGGCAUAUCUAUUGAUCCAAAGAAAGUGGAAGCUGUAGUUAAGUGGAAAGUACCAACAAAUGUAAUAGAAGUUAGAAGCUUCUUAGGCAUGACAGGUUAUUAUGGUAGAUUUGUGGAGAGAUUUUGUUGAAUCGCUCAAUCUCUCACCAUACUCACUCAAAAGAAUGUGAAAUUUGUAUGAGGUGAUGACUGUGAGCGAAGUUUUCAAGAGUUAAAAAGGAGAUUGACUAGUGCCCCUAUUCUCACUAUUCCAAGUGGUGAUGAGGGAUUACUGGUUUAUACUAAUGCCUCAAGAAAGGGCCUUGGAUGUGUUUUGAUGCAAGAAGGGAAAGUGAUUGCUUAUGCUUCUAGACAACUAAAGAGUUAUGAACUGAAUUAUCCAACUCAUGAUUUGGAAUUGACAGCAAUUGUUUUUGCUCUAAAGAUUUGGAGGCAUUACUUAUAUGGGUGAACAUUUGAAAUCUUUACUGAUCAUAAGAGUUUAAAGUAUAUUUUUACUCAAAAAGAGUUAAACAUGAGGCAGCGGAGAUGGAUAGAACUUCUAAAGGGUUAUGAUUGUACCAUUCAUUAUCACCCGGGUAAAGCUAAUGUUGUAGUAGAUGCCCUUAGUAGAAAAUCUAUAAGUUUUAUGGCGACUUUAGUUGUGAAGCAAUAGAAGUUAUUAGAAGAGAAUUAUGAUUUAAAUGUUAUGAGAAAAGGGCAAUACUCAAUGAUAUUAAUGGCCUCCAUCCAAGUGCAAUCUGAUCUCAUUCAACAAAUUAAAGAAGGACAACUACAAGAUCGAUGCUUGAUCUGCUUAAGGAAUGAAGUAGAAAAGGGAUUGAAACUGAAUUUUUGAGUUUCAGAAGAUGGCCUAUUGAGAUUUGGGGAUAGAAUAUGUGUUCCAAAUGACUCAGAUAUCAAAAAUCAAAUCCUGAUGGAAGGUUAUAAUUCAAAGUACACCAUUCAUCCUGGUAGCACUAAGAUGUAUAGAGAUCUCCAAAGUCAUUAUUGGUGGGAAGGCAUGAAGAAUGAGAUUGCAAUAUAUGUUUCAAAGUGUUUGACUUAUCAGCAAAUUAAAGUAGAACACCAAAGACUUGGAGGUUUGUUGCAACCUUUAGAUAUUACUGAAUGGAAAUGAGAAUGUAUUACCAUGGACUUUAUUUCAGGACUACCCCGAACUUCUAGAAAGCAUGAUGCUAUUUGGGUUAUCAUUGAUAGGUUAACGAUAUCUGCACAUUUCCUACCUAUCAAUAUGACUUAUUCUCUUAAUAGGCUUGCAGAUUUAUAUAUAAAUGAAAUAGUAAGACUUCAUGGUGUUCCAAAGGAGAUAAUCUCUGACAGAGACUCCAUAUUUCUAUCUAGAUUUUGGAGAAGGUUACAGGAAUCUAUUGGCACUAAAGUCAAAUUUAGCACUGCUUAUCACCCUCAAACUGAUGGUGAUUGAUAAAGACUUGUCUUAUGUGGAAGAGCCCACUCAGAUUGUUGAUAAAAAAGAAAAGAUCUUGAGGAAUCGGGUUAUCCCUCUAGUUAAAGUGAUAUGGAGAUAUCAUUCUGGAGAGAAAACAACGUGAGAGCUUGAGGAAGAAAUGAUGAAAGCUUAUCCUCAUCUUUUCGUCGAAUGAGGUAUGAUAAAUUUAGAGGAUUAAAUUUUUCUUUAAGGAGGGGAGAGUGUAACAUCCCCCAUUUUUAAAAAUUUAGUAAAAGGUUUGUUUGCAAAAAUAAGGAUUAUUUAAUAAUUAUUUUAUAUUAAAUAAUAUUAUAUUAAAAGUUUAUGGCUAGGGGCCUAAGAGUAAAUAUUAGAAGUUUGAUCUAAUUUAUGAAAGAUUCAGAUUUAAGUUAAAAAAAAAAUAGUGGACAUGUGUCACUAGCUAACCUAAGGUUGGUGCCACUUAUCUUUGCUCUAAAGAUGACACCUAGCCCCUUUCAUGCAUGCUUGACAACUUGCAACUUUUGCAUUAGCCAAAACCCAAAUAAUUAGAUGAAAAGUUAAAGAAAACAAACCUGAAGAGUUGCAGCCAACGUGAGUUUGAGAAGAGAAGGGAAGAAGAAGAAGAAGAAGAAGAGCUUGAGGUUUUUCAUCAAUUUUCCCACAUUUGGGAUUCAAAUAAUUUUAAGGCAAGUGUUCUAACCCCAUCCCAUAGUAACCUUAAUCUUUGUUUCUAUUUUUAUUCUUCAAAAUUUGAAAGAUUUCAACUGAGAACCAGAUCAUCUUUUGUUUUGAUAUAAAGUUAUGAAUCUGUAAUUUUUCGAUAAUCUGACCUCUAUGCAAUGUUUUGGUCAUAAUAUUUUAUAAUAAACUCUGAUUUAGACAAGACCUAUUCCAUUUGAAAGUAGACAAAAAAAUAUUUAUUUUGAUACUAAGAUCAAAUGAUUUGGAGUUUAAAUGCCUACUAAGACUUCUGUUUAAAUUAACCCUACAGAUUCUGUAAAAUAGGGACUGAAAUUUCUGACCUCUUGUUGCUUAACUACUUAUAACUUUCUGCUUUGAACUCAGAUUCAUACAAAGUAUGAUUUAUUCGAAGCUAGACUCAAAAUUAUUUCUGUAUAUACCUGAUUUGAAAAUUUUUGAGUACAAUUGCUAACUGAAACAUCUGCUUUCAUCGACCCUAUGGAUUCAGUAAAACAGAGCUAAUAUUUUCAGACCUUUCUCUAUGAAAUUAUAUGUAACUCCUUGUUGUAAAUUCCAAUUCUUGUUAAACUUGAUUUUCCUAAAACUAGAUUUAUAAAGCUUUCUAAUGACAUCUAUUUUGUAUAAAUUAGAGUAUAACUGGUUAUCCAAAUAAUUUAUACAAUGUUCCUAGCAAAUUCUACCAGAAUCGACCUUUGGUCGAUUUCGGCUUUCCUUGUUUCUUCUCUUUGGAAAUUGAUUUCGGCAAAAACUCUUACUUCAGUUAAGCUUUACAUUUUUAUCUUAAAUUCCUGUAUACUUUUGUCCUUUAUUUAUUUGUACAUUUGCAGCUAUCAUCUAAAGAGCAUGUUUGCAUCGUAAUGAUUCGGCACAUGCAUCCCAUUGUUCCGCAUUUGCUUUCGAUAUGUGCCUCUUCCAGUUUUAUUUCUUUGGAUAUUGAAUUUAUCUAACUUUCUUAUUUCAAUUGAGCUAUAUAUAGUUUCUUGAAAUCCUUGUAUGCUCUUGCUUUUGUUUCCUUUCAAAUCUGAAUACAUUUGUGAAAGAUUAUGUUUGUAUCGUAUUGACUCGAAAGGCAUAUGUACAUUUCGUUGUUCCGCAUAUGCUUCCAAUAUAUGCUAAUUUCAUUAUUCAUACUGUCCCUUUGUACUCUGGUGUUUGUGGGAUAAAUGUGAACCUUUGCUAGAAAUGGUAAAGGGAGUUAUGCUUAGAGCCCGCGAUGCUCUGCCGGCCCCCUAUGACUUCACUCAGACGUGGGAGACUUAUGUUUGUUGGUCAUUCAGAAAUGGAUGUACCAUAUUAUGUUAUGAUCCUACUUCACCUUCUAUGUGUUUGAUAUGAUAUCCAAAGAUUUGGCUAUGUUUCUAUGCAUGCUUUAGAUAAGAAUGAAAUGAAUGCAUCGUUAUGUGACAUUUGAGCUUCUAUUCAUGUUUUGUUCUUUGAUAUAUUUCCGAAAUGUUAUAAGUCUUUGUUAUAUCUUGAAAACUAUCAUAUGUCAUCGAUAUGCUCCUUAUGCCAAUGAUAUGCUCCAAUUACCUUUCCUCGAUUGUAUGUAUAAAACGUGCUUCGAACGAUCCAACAUUGUAAUUCUGCAUUCAAACAAAAUAUGCUACUGUUUCAUCUUGUAUCUCUGCUUUGUAUUUUGAUACCUUAUUUGUUUGAAACCUGUCCUCUUUGCUAUGGAUAUGUUAGUCAUUUGCUGAGCUUUAUAUGCUCACCCCGUUGCUAUAUAAAAUUUUCAGGAUAGCUUAUCGCUCACUAAAAUGUGUAAAUUGGGUUGAGGCAGUGGAAGACUAGAAGAUUUUAGGGCAAAUAUUUUGUACUUGAUAGGUUGAUGUUGUAUAAGUUCUUUUUGGGUGUAAUGAAAUAUCAAUAACAAAUCUAGAUUGAUGUAUCUUGUAAAUAUUUGAAAAGUACCUCUUACGUUAGGAUUUUGGAAAUGUUAAGUCUAAACUGUGUACUGAUAUAAACAUGUAGUACAUGUUGGUUUUGUGAUUACAUUUAUUGCC
RNAcentral lists this long non-coding RNA (6908 nucleotides) under Musa acuminata (dwarf banana). Its description in RNAcentral is "long non-coding RNA (MACU_LNC001325)". Lineage: Eukaryota; Viridiplantae; Streptophyta; Magnoliopsida; Zingiberales; Musaceae. The record is from RNAcentral.